RNAcentral lists this ribosomal RNA (484 nucleotides) under uncultured bacterium. RNAcentral's name for it is "partial 16S ribosomal RNA". It matches the Rfam family "Bacterial small subunit ribosomal RNA", at positions 30 to 507 of the family's 1533-position model. The record is from RNAcentral.
AUUGAACGCUGGCGGCAGGCCUAACACAUGCAAGUCGAGCGGAUGAAGGGAGCUUGCUCCUGGAUUCAGCGGCGGACGGGUGAGUAAUGCCUAGGAAUCUGCCUGAUAGUGGGGGAUAACGUCCGGAAACGGGCGCUAAUACCGCAUACGUCCUGAGGGAGAAAGUGGGGGAUCUUCGGACCUCACGCUAUCAGAUGAGCCUAGGUCGGAUUAGCUAGUUGGUGGGGUAAAGGCCUACCAAGGCGACGAUCCGUAACUGGUCUGAGAGGAUGAUCAGUCACACUGGAACUGAGACACGGUCCAGACUCCUACGGGAGGCAGCAAUGGGGAAUAUUGGACAAUGGGCGAAAGCCUGAUCCAGCCAUGCCGCGUGUGUGAAGAAGGUCUUCGGAUUGUAAAGCACUUUAAGUUGGGAGGAAGGGCAGUAAGUUAAUACCUUGCUGUUUUGACGUUACCAACAGAAUAAGCACCGGCUAACUUCGUG